AGUGCUUGCUUCAGUACCAUAUCCUAAAAUUAGACAGGUACACAGAUUAUUAUGGCCACUGUACAAGGAUGACAUGCAAAUUCACGAAGCAUUCCAUAUUCUU
Small nuclear RNA from Peromyscus maniculatus bairdii (prairie deer mouse), 103 nucleotides. The record is from Ensembl. Lineage: Eukaryota; Metazoa; Chordata; Mammalia; Rodentia; Cricetidae.